GCGGACUGAGUAUUACAUCAGGUACUGGUGUCGAUAUUCGAAUCACAAACGAAUCGGGUUCCUUUGAUUAGCUUACCAGUACUUAUGUUAUGCUCUCUCCGC
Aedes albopictus (Asian tiger mosquito) is the source of this 102-nucleotide non-coding RNA. NCBI's taxonomy places the organism in Eukaryota, Metazoa, Arthropoda, Insecta, Diptera, Culicidae. The record is from Rfam.